This 1590-nucleotide long non-coding RNA is filed under the name Ananas comosus (pineapple). Its description in RNAcentral is "long non-coding RNA (ACOM_LNC029888)". Lineage: Eukaryota; Viridiplantae; Streptophyta; Magnoliopsida; Poales; Bromeliaceae. The record is from RNAcentral.
UAAUUUAACACGUCUCUCUCUUCCAGCAAAGUUGGUCUAUUUCGAUCGGAUGUUUUGAACAUAAUUUAAUAUAAUUUUAAAUGUUAAAAUAAUUAUAUAUAUAGUUGAGAUAAAAUAUUAUCGAUAGCAAAACGGUUCCGCCGUCACCUAUUUAUUUUCGACGAUGGAGCCUUCAAAUCGACGAUCAGUAUCGUUGAAUAUGAUUUAUAUUACUUGAAAUAUUUAGAAAUUAAAUUUUAAAUUUUUUUUGACAUUAUUGACCCAAUGAUCAGAGGGUUUCAAAAUUUACAAUUUUAAUGGUCGAUAUGAGGUAUUUUCUCGUCUAACGGUGUAAAGAUAUCCAAAUUGAUUGAAUAUUAGUUAGAAAAUUCUUUAAACUAUUUAGAACAAGAUCUAUAUAUUCGAUUUUGAUUACAAGAUUCUUAUUAUCACUUUUUAAAAAAUAUUCAUUUUCAGCUGUUCAUUUUAUGUUCACUUGAUGGACAAGAGAACAAUACCAGAAAAGUAUGAAAUUUGGUUUCUACAUAUUUCAAAUGGUAUAGAUCAUAUUCAACGGUGCUGAUCGUCGAUUUGGAGGCUUCAUCAUUGAAAAUAAAUGGGUGGCAACAGAACCUGUUUGCUACCGAUAGCAUUUCAACUCAACUAUAUAUAUAUAUAUAUAUAUAUAUAUAUAAUUGAGCUAGAAUACUUUUAAAAAUAUCACCCCAUUGGUGCUUUUAGGUUUCUAGCGCUUGGAUCUACUCCUUGAUUACUAGUAGCCGAUAUAUAUAUAUAUAUAUAUAUAUAUAUAAUUGAGCUAGAAUAUUUUUAAAAGUAUCACCCCAUUGGUGCUUUUAGGUUUCUAGUCCUUGGAUCUACUCCUUGAUUACUAAUAACCAUUGGAUCAAACACUAUUCCACCUACCACCACCUACACCACCUACCACCAUCAUCACAACCUUACAUUUCUCUAUCCAAUGGUUAAAAAACUCAAAAGCACCACCUCAUUGGUGUUUUUGAGAGNACUAUCGGUAGUAAAUUUCUCGAUUUACUACCGAUUUAUUUUUGAUGAUAGAGCUUCCAAAUCGACGAUCGGUAUCAUUAGAUAUAAUCUAGACCAUUUAAAUUAUCUAGAAAUCAAAUUUCAUGAUUUUUUGGCAUCACUAAUUGAACGAUCAAAGGGUCACAAAAUCUAUAAUUUUAAUGGCCGAUAUGGUGCAUUUACUCGUUUAACGGUACAGAAGAGUUCAAAUCAACUAAAUUUUUGUUAAAAUUUUUUUUAAACUAUUUAAAAUAAGAUCUAGACUCUAGAUCUCAAAUAUAAAAAUUGUAUAACUUUUUGAAGGAUAUUUAUUUCUAGUCAUUCAUUUUUCUGUUCACUUGAUGGACAAGAGAACACUAUCGAAAAUGUGUGAAAUUUGAUUUUCAGAUAGUUUAAAUAGUUUAGAUCAUGUUUAACGGUGCCGAUCAUCAAUUUGAAAGCUCUAUCAUCGAAGACAAAUCGGUAGUAAACCAAGCCGUUUAUUACCGAUAGUAUUCUAGCAAAACUCUAUAUACACGAACGUGCGAGAUAGACAUGAUAAUUUAAUUUUAGGAUUGAAAAAUAAGAUAA